UCUAAUAUGGCAGAUUAGUGCAAUGAAUUUAAGCUUCAUAUAUAAAAAUUAUUAUUUUUUGUUAGAA
RNAcentral lists this transfer RNA (67 nucleotides) under Armigeres subalbatus. RNAcentral describes it as "tRNA-Leu". The record is from RNAcentral. Lineage: Eukaryota; Metazoa; Arthropoda; Insecta; Diptera; Culicidae.